UACGUAGGGUGCAAGCGUUAAUCGGAAUUACUGGGCGUAAAGCGUGCGCAGGCGGCUUUGCAAGACAGAUGUGAAAUCCCCGGGCUUAACCUGGGAAUUGCAUUGGUGACUGCACGGCUAGAGUGUGUUAGAGGGGGGGUAGAAUUCCACGUGUAGCAGUGAAAUGCGUAGAGAUGUGGAGGAAUACCGAUGGCGAAGGCAGCCCCCCUGGGAUAACACUGACGCUCAUGCACGAAAGCGUGGGGAGCAAACAGG
RNAcentral lists this ribosomal RNA (255 nucleotides) under uncultured bacterium. RNAcentral's name for it is "partial 16S ribosomal RNA". It matches the Rfam family "Bacterial small subunit ribosomal RNA", at positions 524 to 776 of the family's 1533-position model. The record is from RNAcentral.